AUUAGCCAAUGUGCUUUGUAGUCUGAAUAACUCAGAAAUUGAUAGUGUUUACAUCAAUUUUGUCUCUGCUUUCGGCCUUGAGAUUUUAUUUACACUAGAACACCAAAUUA
This is a non-coding RNA of Brassica napus (rape), 110 nucleotides long. The record is from Rfam. NCBI's taxonomy places the organism in Eukaryota, Viridiplantae, Streptophyta, Magnoliopsida, Brassicales, Brassicaceae.